RNAcentral lists this microRNA precursor (80 nucleotides) under Medicago truncatula (barrel medic). Its description in RNAcentral is "MIR5269 microRNA precursor family". It matches the Rfam family "MIR5269 microRNA precursor family". The record is from Rfam by way of RNAcentral. Lineage: Eukaryota; Viridiplantae; Streptophyta; Magnoliopsida; Fabales; Fabaceae.
UUGGCUUAAAUUAAUGUAGGUCCUACACUUUAAAAAUAGAACACACAUAAAAUGGUGGAACAUACAUUAAUUUCAUUCAA